This 844-nucleotide long non-coding RNA is filed under the name Gopherus agassizii (Agassiz's desert tortoise). Its description in RNAcentral is "lncRNA (ENSGAGG00000007738.1)". Lineage: Eukaryota; Metazoa; Chordata; Testudines; Testudinidae. The record is from RNAcentral.
GAUUGCCACACGUUUAGGAAAUAAAAAAGACAUGUGUAUGUUUCUAGCCCUUCAUAUGGAGAAUUCUCCAAUGUGUGUUAGCCCAUCUGAAAAGUUCAAUAAAACUGGGAUUGUUGUGUGUGAGUCAGACAAAAUACACAAAAUGGUAGCAAUGAGCUGCUCCAGAGAAAACCUACAUGCUGUGCAACAUGUCAUGCUGAACGUUCCCUGUUCUUUGAAUAACUGCACUGUGUACUUGUCCAGGAAACCCUGCUCCACCUGUACUACAGUUCUCAUUCAAGGAUCAGUUUCUUCAGUCUAUUACUGGCCAAUGUCUCCAGAACUAAAAGGGGAAGAUUCAGCAGUUGAGGAAGAUCUCAAGCAAGUUGACCAAAUGUUUCUCAGAAGUAAUAUAAAUAGCAGUGUUUUUCUACCAAUCGCAGACUCUGACACUGUAUUUAAGAUUUCAUCUAGAAUCAAAAUAUACAAGUGCACAGAAUGCAGUUCCCAUUAUGCUGAGGCUGUUCCUAAAGACAUGGAAAAAAAUAGUUCAUUGCUUAAUAUGCAAGGCCAUAUAAGGAUAUGUGCAGAGCAGAUGAAGAAUGCAUUGUGUUGCCUUGAUUGUUUACUACAUUGUUCCCAUGGACAAUUUGAAGAAAAAGAAAAGAUCAAUGUGGAAAAAAUGCACACACAUGCAUUGCAGCUUUGUUAUCUUUUAGCAGCAAGAUCUGAUGAUCCAGAUCGAGGUGUUGGUUGCAUAUUAUACAGUCAGAAUGGAUAUUUUGUAAGUAUGGCAAAUGUUUCAUGCACUUCCUUUAAUGUUCACUCUCUCCAGUGCAUUAGCUAAUAAGUAUACUAGUAUUGG